Helianthus annuus (common sunflower) is the source of this 319-nucleotide long non-coding RNA. RefSeq lists it as uncharacterized. Lineage: Eukaryota; Viridiplantae; Streptophyta; Magnoliopsida; Asterales; Asteraceae. The record is from RefSeq and is a predicted model, not a curated record. The transcript has 2 exons.
GUAGGUGAUAUGUUUGAAAACAAUGAACGAGUAGAUAAGUCAUGAGAAACAACGGGGUGGCUUGAACCGGUAACAUGGAAGAAGAAGAAAAGAACUCAAAAGUCGUUCACCAAUAAUCCGAUUCGGAUGGUAGAAAGGCGAAAGUGAUCAAGUCUUGGAAGCGGGUCAACUAUGGAAAGAUUUAGUGAUGAUUUGUUCACUAAGUAUAUGGGUUUUCUUAUCGGGUCAAAUUGACCUAGUUAUUUACAUUUUGGAGUUUAACUUCAAUGUUUGUUUUCGCUAAGCGCUAGUAUGUCAAUGUAGUAGUUGUUUAUGUUUA